GGAGAUAUAGUUCAGUGGUAGAAGACAUACCCUAGCAAGCAUGAAGCCCUGAGUUUGAUCCCCAGUAACACACA
Molecule: transfer RNA, 74 nt
Filed under: Marmota monax (woodchuck)
Lineage: Eukaryota; Metazoa; Chordata; Mammalia; Rodentia; Sciuridae
Description: tRNA.Undet
Source: RNAcentral